GGCUCAGAGUGAACGCUGGCGGCGUGCUUAACACAUGCAAGUCGAACGAGAACGGGUUAUAGCUUGCUAUAACUGUCAGCUAAGUGGCGCACGGGUGAGUAAUAUAUAGGUAACGUGCCCUAGAGAGGGGGAUAACAGUUGGAAACGAUUGCUAACACCCCAUAUGCCUUUAUCCCAUAAGGGAGCAAGGGAAAUAUUUAUAGCUCUAGGAUCGGCCUGUACAGUAUCAGUUAGUUGGUGAGGUAAUGGCUCACCAAGACAAUGACGCUUAACUGGUUUGAGAGGAUGAUCAGUCACACUGGAACUGAGACACGGUCCAGACUCCUACGGGAGGCAGCAGGUGGGGAAUAUUGCACAAUGGACGAAAGUCUGAUGCAGCAACGCCGCGUGGAGGAUGACACAUUUCGGUGCGUAAACUCCUUUUAUAUAGGAAGAUAAUGACGGUACUAUAUGAAUAAGCACCGGCUAACUCCGUG
Molecule: ribosomal RNA, 476 nt
Filed under: uncultured bacterium
Lineage: Bacteria
Description: bacterial SSU rRNA
Rfam family: Bacterial small subunit ribosomal RNA
Source: RNAcentral